CAUGCAAGUCGAGCGGACAGAAGGGAGCUUGCUCCCGGAUGUUAGCGGCGGACGGGUGAGUAACACGUGGGUAACCUGCCUGUAAGACUGGGAUAACUCCGGGAAACCGGAGCUAAUACCGGAUAGUUCCUUGAACCGCAUGGUUCAAGGAUGAAAGACGGUUUCGGCUGUCACUUACAGAUGGACCCGCGGCGCAUUAGCUAGUUGGUGAGGUAACGGCUCACCAAGGCGACGAUGCGUAGCCGACCUGAGAGGGUGAUCGGCCACACUGGGACUGAGACACGGCCCAGACUCCUACGGGAGGCAGCAGUAGGGAAUCUUCCGCAAUGGACGAAAGUCUGACGGAGCAACGCCGCGUGAGUGAUGAAGGUUUUCGGAUCGUAAAGCUCUGUUGUUAGGGAAGAACAAGUGCAAGAGUAACUGCUUGCACCUUGACGGUACCUAACCAGAAAGCCACGGCUAACUACGUGCCAGCAGCCGCGGUAAUACGUAGGUGGCAAGCGUUGUCCGGAAUUAUUGGGCGUAAAGGGCUCGCAGGCGGUUUCUUAAGUCUGAUGUGAAAGCCCCCGGCUCAACCGGGGAGGGUCAUUGGAAACUGGGAAACUUGAGUGCAGAAGAGGAGAGUGGAAUUCCACGUGUAGCGGUGAAAUGCGUAGAGAUGUGGAGGAACACCAGUGGCGAAGGCGACUCUCUGGUCUGUAACUGACGCUGAGGAGCGAAAGCGUGGGGAGCGAACAGGAUUAGAUACCCUGGUAGUCCACGCCGUA
Molecule: ribosomal RNA, 767 nt
Filed under: bacterium
Lineage: Bacteria
Description: bacterial SSU rRNA
Rfam family: Bacterial small subunit ribosomal RNA
Source: RNAcentral